This 73-nucleotide transfer RNA is filed under the name Planococcus sp. MB-3u-03. Its description in RNAcentral is "tRNA-Arg". It matches the Rfam family "tRNA". Rfam says of the family: Transfer RNA (tRNA) molecules are approximately 80 nucleotides in length. Their secondary structure includes four short double-helical elements and three loops (D, anti-codon, and T loops). Lineage: Bacteria; Bacillati; Bacillota; Bacilli; Caryophanales; Caryophanaceae. The record is from RNAcentral.
GUCUCAGUAGCUCAGCUGGAUAGAGCAACGCCCUUCUAAGGCGUCGGUCGGGGUUCGAAUCCCUCCUGGGACG